UGCCAGCCGCCGCGGUAAUACGGAGGGGGCUAGCGUUGUUCGGAAUUACUGGGCGUAAAGCGCGCGUAGGCGGCUAGGUAAGUUGGAGGUGAAAUCCCGAAGCUCAACUUCGGAACAGCCUUCAAAACUGCUUAGCUAGAGGCAGGGAGAGGAGAGCGGAAUACCCAGUGUAGAGGUGAAAUUCGUAGAUAUUGGGUGGAACACCGGUGGCGAAGGCGGCUCUCUGGCCCUGAUCUGACGCUAAGGCGCGAAAGCGUGGGGAGCAAAUAGGAUUAGAUA
Molecule: ribosomal RNA, 279 nt
Filed under: uncultured bacterium
Lineage: Bacteria
Description: partial 16S ribosomal RNA
Rfam family: Bacterial small subunit ribosomal RNA
Source: RNAcentral